This 253-nucleotide ribosomal RNA is filed under the name uncultured bacterium. Its description in RNAcentral is "partial 16S ribosomal RNA". It matches the Rfam family "Bacterial small subunit ribosomal RNA", at positions 524 to 776 of the family's 1533-position model. The record is from RNAcentral.
CACGUAGGGCGCAAGCGUUGUCCGGAAUUAUUGGGCGUAAAGGGCUCGUAGGCGGUUUGUCGCGUCGGGAGUGAAAUCCACUGGCUUAACUGGUGGCUUGCUUUCGAUACGGGCAGACUGGAGGUAUGCAGGGGAGAACGGAAUUCCUGGUGUAGCGGUGAAAUGCGCAGAUAUCAGGAGGAGCACCGGUGGCGAAGGCGGGUCUCUAGUACGGUACUGACGCUGAGACGCGAAAGCGUGGGGAGCGAACAGG